Molecule: long non-coding RNA, 1634 nt
Organism: Manis javanica (Malayan pangolin)
Lineage: Eukaryota; Metazoa; Chordata; Mammalia; Pholidota; Manidae
Source: RefSeq, a predicted model, not a curated record
AGAAAGAAAGACUUAGACAAUUCCCUUGAGAGCUGGCAACAGUUGGUAGGACCCUAACUACAAAUGUAGUGCAACACACAUUUCUGUCCAGCCAUAUUUUGGGACCCCCAACCUGAGGGUGGAGCUGCCUGUGUACACAAGAACGGACAACCUGUAUGUCCCAGGCAAACAGAAUGUGGAUCCAAGUUUCCAGGACACUGAACAACACAAACAACAAGGAAACAGCUGUCCCUGGGAGAGAAAAGAGCAACAAACAAUGAAGACCCCAAAACCAAAUCUGUAAGAGUCUGGAUUUGGAAAGUGACAUGAGAUUUUACUUUCCUUUCUCAGCCUGCCACCUCUGACAUCAGGAGACCGACUGGUAUUAAAAGGAGCUCUGGGAUGUUCAAGAAAUAAAUAUUACAUAGGAAUCUUUAAUAAAUACACAAGCCGUCUGGACCCCAAUCUCCACUUCUCAACCAUAAUUAAUAAAAAAGAGGAGGCAGCAACAAGCAUGGACCUGGGCAAAGAAGCAAACCCAUUAUGGAAUUCUAAGUGUCCUGUUACUUAACCAAAAGAAGUUGAAAAAAUGGUGGCUUAGAAUACUUAGAUCUAAUGACUCAGUGACAAAUGGAUGGACUGGACUAUAUAAGGGGCCAGACACAGAGCCCCUGUGGCAAGCUCAUCUCAGAGGUCCCCAACACUAGAUGACAGACGUGUGCUCUGAGGCUGGCUCUUGCUCAUCUGCUCAUGCUCCUGCUCUGUCACAGAUUUGUCACUCUACUGAACUGUCUCAGCUGCAUCUCCUUCCCCUUGGGAAAGACAAAGGCUGACUGGGACAGCCUGAACUCGAACCAUCCAUCAUGACCAGUAUGAGAGGUACUGAUCUGUGACAUGUGUGAUUUUCAGAUAUGUGUGAUUCCCCCUUUGAGUGUUGUGUGAAAGGAAAUUGCAAAAUAAACUGUGAUUUGUGCAACCAUAAGUGUUAAUUUCAUUACUCCACCACCCUGCAGAUCUAUACUUCCUGACCCACUUGCAUCACCUUCCUACAGGGAGAGUAGAGGAAAACCUAGAAAACAGUUUUCCCCACUCAGAUCCAAUACCCAGUACUUUUUUACUCCAAACCCUUCCCCAUUACCCUUCUCCUGACUUUAGGGUCCAUAAAACUGCCUGAGCCUUUUGCUGGGGCUCCCUCAAUAGUGAGAGGACUCCCACCCGUCUCAGUCCUGAUCCAUCUGCCUUUAACCUGUGCACUGUCCAUAGGGGUGUUGGGAGGAAGAAAUUUCCUCUACCUUUCAAGGUUCUUCAAGCUGGUCUAAGAAUCAAAUUGAAAAGAGACAGGAGGAAAAAACAAAUUUAAUUAUAUACCUAAGGGGAAACUAUAGACAAAUAAUAGAGACAGUCAGGGAAAAUGAAGUAUAUAUGUUAUCCUCAAUCAAGGGCAAGAGGUGAGGAGUCUGAGGUUUCAAAGGACUAUGAAAGAUUAAAUGUUUGGUAAACAAAUAAUUUGUUGGGCCACACAGAAAUAGUGGGACACAGAGAAGAAUAUUAAUAGACUGAGCCACAUCCCUGCCUACCAUACCUAGUUCACAUUAUAAUAUUGUUAUCUAUGGUGAUAGUUCUCCUCCUGGAGUUUCUCCAUCUAAAUUAUUUUU